GUGCUCACUUCAGCAGCACAUACAUUAAAGAGUGGAACAAUACAGAGAAGAUUAUCAUGUCCCCUGCACAAGGAUGACGCAAAAAUUUGUGAAUUGUUCUACGUUUAA
Meriones unguiculatus (Mongolian gerbil) is the source of this 108-nucleotide small nuclear RNA. The record is from Ensembl. NCBI's taxonomy places the organism in Eukaryota, Metazoa, Chordata, Mammalia, Rodentia, Muridae.